CUUGAGGAGUGUUGGAUCUGCCACGUCAAUUAAUGAGGCGUGAUCCAAUGCUCUGUGUUUUUCUGAUUUUUAAUUCUUUUUCUUUUAUUAUUUUUAAUUGUUUUUUCUUUUAAAAUUCAUAGUAAUUUUAUUUUUCAUCCCAAAAAUCCCAAAAUAAUUUCUAAAAUUCUCUUUUAUUUUUCUUCAUCUCAUUUUUAUUUUUCCAUAUUUUAUUCCACGGAUUUUGUAUUUUUCAUGAAUUUUCUAUUUUCUCUUUUGCUUUAAUUGGUUUAAAAUACUUUUCGUCAUUUUUAAAUUCUG
This 300-nucleotide long non-coding RNA is filed under the name Lathyrus oleraceus (garden pea). RNAcentral's name for it is "Pisum sativum (pea) long non-coding RNA (PSAT_LNC016061)". Lineage: Eukaryota; Viridiplantae; Streptophyta; Magnoliopsida; Fabales; Fabaceae. The record is from RNAcentral.